CCUACGGGUGACAGCAGUCGAGAAUCAUUCACAAUGGGGGAAACCCUGAUGGUGCGACGCCGCGUGGGGGAAUGAAGGUCUUCGGAUUGUAAACCCCUGUCAUGUGGGAGCAAAUUAAAAAGAUAGUACCACAAGAGGAAGAGACGGCUAACUCUGUGCCAGCAGCCGCGGUAAUACAGAGGUCUCAAGCGUUGUUCGGAAUCACUGGGCGUAACGCGUGCGUAGGCUGUUUCGUAAGUCGUGUGUGAAAGGCGCGGGCUCAACCCGCGGACGGCACAUGAUACUGCGAGACUAGAGUAAUGGAGGGGGAACCGGAAUUCUCGGUGUAGCAGUGAAAUGCGUAGAUAUCAAGAGGAACACUCGUGGCGAAGGCGGGUUCCUGGACAUUAACUGACGCUGAGGCACGAAGGCCAGGGGAGCGAAAGGGAUUAGAUACCCUGGUAGUC
RNAcentral lists this ribosomal RNA (446 nucleotides) under uncultured bacterium. RNAcentral describes it as "partial 16S ribosomal RNA". It matches the Rfam family "Bacterial small subunit ribosomal RNA", at positions 338 to 795 of the family's 1533-position model. The record is from RNAcentral.